UAAAGCUAUUCAUUCCAAAUCUAGUAUCCCAAAAGAGUACCCUAUUUCAUCUUUUAAUCUUCAAUCUCAUGAAGCAAAGCACCUUGCUUCUAAGAGAAAGUUGGAGUUUGGAAGUGGUGUUCUUUUCUACAACAGAGGUUGUGUGACAAUAAAAGAAAAGUACGACAAAAUAACAGCGGCUCACCAUGAUUUUACCAAUCCCACCGUGAAAUCAAACAUGUAGUCACUAAAACAAGUUUGUUAUUACAAUCAAAAGAAUACUACUGCUAAUCUAGCCAAAGUUCAGCCAUUCCCUUACGACCAACUACUGUCAAAUUCUAUUCACAUCAACGAGAAUUUAUCAAUAUUAAAUAAAAUAAAAACUAAGAUUUAGAAAGUUAAAUACAAGUCACUUGAACAAAUGGUGAUGGAGUUUCCAAUUAUUGACAAUCAUUAACACACUUUUCAGCACUGGUAUUAACUUCUAUAUUGCAAGCUCAUACAAAUCAUAAUUAAAAAAAAGAAGAAGAAAAAACUAAUAUGAGAAUCUGAAAUGAACAGCACACACUAAGUAGAUGCAAAUCAAACAUAAGUAAAACGAAAUAUGUGACAAGCGUAGGGAACUUUUAUCAGCACAAAAAGUAGAUGCAAGCAAACUGAAAGUAAAUAAUUCGUAAGAAGAAACGAAAUAUGUGAUAAGUACAGGCAAAUCAAACGAAAUCUGAGUGCAAGUAGCAACUUGAAAAAUAAAUCUAUGUGUUGAACAAACGAAAUCAAAGGAAAACUUACAAACGAAGAGCGGGAGGAUGAUGCGCGCGCGAUAGAUGAGAAGCGACGAGGCUACGAUGACUAUGGUUGAGAUGCGGUGGCGAGGUGUGACGGUGGUGAUUUGAGAUGCGACGGUGAUGUGUGAGAGUGGUGGGUUAAAAAUACGCGAGUGUGACGGUGUGAGGGUUUUGUUACGAUAGGCCUAAAUUGAGGGUUUUUUAUGAACAAUUUGUUUUAGAGUUAGCCCUAAAUUGUUAGUUAUGCAAAAAUAGGUCCUUGAUACAUUUCUUUUUUAGCAAAAUAUGUCUUUGUAACAAAAGAAAUUUCUUAAAAAUAUUGAAUAAUUUUAAUGUUUAUACAUGAUUUUUCUUUACUUUUUUAUAAACAAAUAUAAUAAUUAUAUUUUUUGAGAAUUUCUAUAGUAAAUUUAAAAAUUAAUUUAUUUU
RNAcentral lists this long non-coding RNA (1193 nucleotides) under Cicer arietinum (chickpea). Its description in RNAcentral is "long non-coding RNA (CARI_LNC002427)". The record is from RNAcentral. Lineage: Eukaryota; Viridiplantae; Streptophyta; Magnoliopsida; Fabales; Fabaceae.